UUGAUUGUAACACUGACACAGAAAUUCUGAAAAUUUCUGAUUUAUUGCAUCAAAUUGCAUAAUAAAUUGCAAUCAGAAUAAAACAUCAAAACAUUCAGUUCAAGUUGGAACUUUAUAUGGUUAGUUGUUGAUGCAAUGUCGUCCCGAAAGGUCCUUAUUGUACUUUUGUGCAUUUAUUGUGUUUUGUGUUUAUUUGUAAUGGUAUCAAGUGAAGAAAAUGUGGAUUCUUCUGAAAAAGAAAUGUCUGGAAUGUAUGAGCCACGAAGAAGAAAGAAACAUACGAAAUAUUUUGUGCCGUUGUUAACAGCUGCGCUGUUAAUUAAAUCAGUUUUGUUUCCGUUGGCUUUCAAAUCGAUGGCGAUAAUGGCGGGCAUUUCUAUUAUCUUAAGCACGCUGAGUUUGUUGGUUUCAAGCAUGGUUGGGUUUGCAAAAACAGCAAAAGAUUCUUAUCAGCAUUAUGCUUUAAGAAGAACACAACAAACUGCAAAUGAAAAAAUUCAAGAAGCAGAGGUUAAUAAGGAAGACUAUACGAUUCAAAAUGGCGGAAAUGUGGCAGUUGGAACACCACAACUUGGAAAUCGGAUUAUUUUGAGUCCUAAAUUGAAAACUUUUAAUGCUUACGGAUAUAAACAUCCAAAUUAUAUUUAAUUAAAAAAAUCAAAUUAUUUAAAUGAUAUUAGUUGGAAUAUAUGUUUAAAAUGGUAAAAUGAAUAAAUUAUUUAUUG
Long non-coding RNA from Dalotia coriaria, 725 nucleotides. RefSeq lists it as uncharacterized. NCBI's taxonomy places the organism in Eukaryota, Metazoa, Arthropoda, Insecta, Coleoptera, Staphylinidae. The record is from RefSeq and is a predicted model, not a curated record. The transcript has 2 exons.